Myzus persicae (green peach aphid) is the source of this 366-nucleotide long non-coding RNA. RefSeq lists it as uncharacterized. NCBI's taxonomy places the organism in Eukaryota, Metazoa, Arthropoda, Insecta, Hemiptera, Aphididae. The record is from RefSeq and is a predicted model, not a curated record. The transcript is spliced from 3 exons.
CAGCGAUCUGCUCCAAACGUUCCUGCGAAAACAACACGUCCUAUUUGUUAUAUGAUGUUAAGAUGUAUACGUAUAUAUAUAGCCCGAGAGCCGUCAACUGCGUCAACAAAGGUUUAUUUACCUGUCGUCGGAUUUUGAAUAGUUCGACGUUAUCGUCCAGACGGGGCCUCUUCGACCCGUAACCGCAGUCGCCGUUCGAAGUCAACCCUCCGAAACCCUGCAGCAUGCUUGACCUGUUUUGAUUUAAAGAUUUUUAAUUUACACACAACACUUAAUGUUCAUUAUUUAGGUAAGAGUAGUUUACUUGGAAUGUCCUUUAGAAUAAUGGUAUCCCGAGUCACGAACCACUUGUCGGGCUAAAGGGAA